Molecule: ribosomal RNA, 226 nt
Filed under: uncultured bacterium
Lineage: Bacteria
Description: partial 16S ribosomal RNA
Rfam family: Bacterial small subunit ribosomal RNA
Source: RNAcentral
GCGUUGUCCGGAUUUAUUGGGCGUAAAGCGCGUGUAGGCGGCCAGGUAGGUCUGCUGUGAAAACUCGAGGCUCAACCUCGAGCUGUCGGCGGAAACCCUCUGGCUAGAGUCCGGAAGAGGAGAGUGGAAUUCCUGGUGUAGCGGUGAAAUGCGCAGAUAUCAGGAAGAACACCCAUGGCGAAGGCAGCUCUCUGGGACGGUACUGACGCUGAGACGCGAAAGCGUG